GGGGGCGACCAGGUUUCGACGUGGGUCGCGAAGCAGCACAGGGCAUGUCGAGGACCAGUCACCUCGUAAAUCCAUCUGGAAACACUUUAAACGCCAACGACGAGCGUUUCGCUCUCGCCGCCUAAUACCGGCGAGACGCUGCACUAGCCUGCUGAUGGGCUAGGCCCCGCAAGGGGUGCAGCGUCAUUUACAUCAGCCUCUCUGCGGGGUCUGGCCGCUUGGCCCCGCGGAUCCGUCGAAGCGGCUGGCUGAGCGUCAGCCUGCCGGUCGGCGGGCGCGAGGCGAGAUCCAAAUGAUCAGGCUAAGCAUGUAGUCCUGGCUGUCUAGGGCUUGCGGACGCGGGUUCGAUUCCCGCCGCCUCCACCA
Molecule: non-coding RNA, 366 nt
Organism: Betaproteobacteria bacterium
Lineage: Bacteria; Pseudomonadati; Pseudomonadota; Betaproteobacteria
Source: Rfam